Verticillium dahliae VdLs.17 is the source of this 81-nucleotide non-coding RNA. Lineage: Eukaryota; Fungi; Ascomycota; Sordariomycetes; Glomerellales; Plectosphaerellaceae. The record is from the annotation of a RefSeq genome assembly.
GGUCCACUAACCCCUAUCCAGUAAUGGUUAUGACUGCGGAUUCUGAUUCCGCCAGCCCAGGUUCGAUUCCUGGUUGGACCU